CGGGGUGAGUAAUGUCUGGGAAACUGCCUGAUGGAGGGGGAUAACUACUGGAAACGGUAGCUAAUACCGCAUAACGUCGCAAGACCAAAGUGGGGGACCUUCGGGCCUCAUGCCAUCAGAUGUGCCCAGACGGGAUUAGCUAGUAGGUGGGGUAACGGCUCACCUAGGCGACGAUCCCUAGCUGGUCUGAGAGGAUGACCAGCCACACUGGAACUGAGACACGGUCCAG
RNAcentral lists this ribosomal RNA (229 nucleotides) under uncultured bacterium. Its description in RNAcentral is "partial 16S ribosomal RNA". It matches the Rfam family "Bacterial small subunit ribosomal RNA", at positions 104 to 334 of the family's 1533-position model. The record is from RNAcentral.